GGGGACGACUUGGCUUCGACUGGAGUAGUUUCGGGAUUAGGUUGCAUGUCGGACUGAGCAUUUCCGUUACGCGGCUCACCUUGCUUAAAUGCAAACAACACUAAUUACCGCCCAGCUUACGCAGUAGCAUAAGUUUAUCCCCUCGAAAGAGGCGGGCUGCUUCACUCUUCGGUUCUAUCCUAGAAGAGAUUUUGAAGUAUAACCCUUAUGAUAGAUAUACUUUCAGUGGGUCUCGACUGAAAACGAAUUUAGAGACUCGUCUUGCAUAGCCUUGCAGCUUGUGCGAAGCAAGAUCAAACCAAUCAAGCUAACUAAACAUGUAGACGCCUUUUUCUAGCUAUUUUAGGACUGCGGUUCGAUCCCGCACGUCUCCACCA
Molecule: transfer-messenger RNA, 377 nt
Filed under: Sulfurimonas sp.
Lineage: Bacteria; Pseudomonadati; Campylobacterota; Epsilonproteobacteria; Campylobacterales; Sulfurimonadaceae
Also listed under: 2 other names
Rfam family: transfer-messenger RNA
About the family: Bacterial tmRNA, also known as 10Sa RNA or SsrA, is named for its dual tRNA and mRNA-like properties.
Source: RNAcentral